GGGCACAUAGCUCAGCUGGUUAGAGCGCNNAUAAUGACGAGGUCCGAGGUUCGACUCCUCGUGUGCCCACCA
RNAcentral lists this transfer RNA (72 nucleotides) under Candidatus Jacksonbacteria bacterium. RNAcentral describes it as "tRNA-OTHER". It matches the Rfam family "tRNA". From Rfam's summary of the family: Transfer RNA (tRNA) molecules are approximately 80 nucleotides in length. Lineage: Bacteria; Candidatus Jacksoniibacteriota. The record is from RNAcentral.